UACGGAGGGGGCUAGCGUUGUUCGGAAUUACUGGGCGUAAAGCGCGCGUAGGCGGCUUUGUAAGUUAGAGGUGAAAGCCCGGAGCUCAACUCCGGAAUUGCCUUUAAGACUGCAUCGCUAGAAUCAUGGAGAGGUUAGUGGAAUUCCGAGUGUAGAGGUGAAAUGCGUAGAGAUCGGCAGGAACACCCAGGGGGAAACCAGCGGACUGGCUCGUUGCUGACACUGAGGUGCGACAGCGUGGGGAGCGAACGGG
RNAcentral lists this ribosomal RNA (253 nucleotides) under uncultured bacterium. RNAcentral's name for it is "partial 16S ribosomal RNA". It matches the Rfam family "Bacterial small subunit ribosomal RNA", at positions 524 to 776 of the family's 1533-position model. The record is from RNAcentral.